Molecule: ribosomal RNA, 497 nt
Filed under: uncultured bacterium
Lineage: Bacteria
Description: partial 16S ribosomal RNA
Rfam family: Bacterial small subunit ribosomal RNA
Source: RNAcentral
GAUGAACGCUGGCGGCGUGCCUAACACAUGCGAGUCGAGCGAAAAGACGAGGAGCUUGCUCCCCUGACGUUAGCGGCGGACGGGUGAGUAACACGUGGAUAACCUACCUCUAAGACUGGGAUAACUUCGGGAAACCGGAGCUAAUACCGGAUAAUAUAUUGUACCGCAUGGUGCAAUAGUGCAAGACGGUUUUCCUGUCACUAAUAGCCGGAUCCGCGUCGGAUUAGCUAGUUGGUAAGGUAACGGCCUACCAAGGCUACGAUGCGUAGCCGACCUGAGAGGGUGAUCGGCCACACUGGAACUGAGACACGGUCCAGACUCCUACGGGAGGCAGCAGUGGGGAAUAUUGGGCAAUGGGCGAAAGCCUGACGCAGCCACGCCGCGUGAGUGAUGAAGGCCUUCGGGUCGUAAAGCUCUUUUAUUAGGGAAGAACAGAUGUGGAUGUAACUCUGGACGUUUUGACGGUACCUAAAGAGAAAGCCACGGCUAACUUCGUG